This 226-nucleotide ribosomal RNA is filed under the name uncultured bacterium. RNAcentral's name for it is "partial 16S ribosomal RNA". It matches the Rfam family "Bacterial small subunit ribosomal RNA", at positions 538 to 763 of the family's 1533-position model. The record is from RNAcentral.
GCGUUGCUCGGAAUUAUUGGGCGUAAAGGGUAGGUAGGUGGUCUCAUUUGUCUGAGGUGAAAGCCCAGGGCUUAACCCUGGAAGUGCCUCAGAAACGGUGAGACUCGAGUACUGGAGAGGGUCGUGGAAUUCCCGGUGUAGCGGUGAAAUGCGUAGAGAUCGGGAGGAACACCAGAGGCGGAGGCGGCGACCUGGACAGUUACUGACACUCAACUACGAAAGCGUG